GGGAGAGCCUGCGACUGCUGGGCAACACCUUUGUGGCACUGUCUGACCUGCGCUGCAAUCUGGCCUGCGCGCCCCCACGACACCUGCAUGUGGUGCGGCCUAUGUCUCACUACACCACCCCCAUGGUGCUCCAGCAGGCGGCCAUUCAUCAAUGUGGGAACCACUGUGACCAUGACAGGAAAUGGGACUCGGCCCCCCCCAACUCCCAAUGCAGAGGCACCUCCCCCUGGUCCUGGGCAGGCCUCAUCCGUGGCUCCGUCUUCUACCAAUGUCGAGUCCUCAGCUGAGGGGGCUCCCCCGCCAGGUCCAGCUCCCCCGCCAGCUACCAGCCACCCGAGGGUCAUCCGGAUUUCCCACCAGAGUGUGGAACCCGUGGUUAUGAUGCACAUGAACAUUCAAGCAGGGCGCCGGUCUGGGUACCAAUGCCUCGUUGGCCCAGAUGGUGAGCGGCCUUGUGGGGCAGCUUCUUAUGCAGCCAGUCCUUGUGGCUCAGGGGACCCCAGGUAUGGCUCCACCGCCAGCCCCUGCCACUGCUUCCGCCAGUGCUGGCACCACCAACACAGCUACCACAGCUGGGCCUGCUCCUGGGGGGCCUGCCCAGCCUCCACCCGCCCCUCAACCCUCCACGGCUGAUCUUCAGUUCUC
RNAcentral lists this small RNA (645 nucleotides) under Pongo abelii (Sumatran orangutan). Its description in RNAcentral is "processed transcript". The record is from RNAcentral. Lineage: Eukaryota; Metazoa; Chordata; Mammalia; Primates; Hominidae.